AUAGUACUUUUAAAGUUCCUCGUGCCAAUACAUAUUUUCGGAUUAACUUGAAGGGUGUAUAUGCUAAUGCCCAGAGUUGUGUAUUGUCUGAAUUGUUCAUUCUCCUCCUUAAAAAUGAGUUGAAUGAAAUCAUAUAUCAGCUUGUAUUGCAAAGUUAGAAACUUCUAUCUCCUAUGUUGGCGACAAACUGGAACUGAAGGUCUAUGGUUUCAAUGAGAAGCUUCCCAUUCUCUUAUCUAAAGUUUUAUCAGUAGCUAGAUCCUUUAUUCCUUCUGGCGAUCGAUUUGAGGUUAUAAAAGAAGACAUGAAGAGAACUUUGAAGAAUACCAACAUGAAGCCUUUAAGUCAUUUGUCAUAUUUGAGAUUGCAAGUUUUGUGCCGAGCUUUUAUGACACUGACGAGAAGUUGCAUCAUAUAAAUGAUUUGUUUCUUGAUGAUUUGAUUGCAUUCAUCCCCGAACUUCGCUCCAAGUGCCAAUCUAGUUAGAG
This is a non-coding RNA of Arachis ipaensis, 488 nucleotides long. The record is from RefSeq and is a predicted model, not a curated record. NCBI's taxonomy places the organism in Eukaryota, Viridiplantae, Streptophyta, Magnoliopsida, Fabales, Fabaceae.